CAGAGCGCUGGAGAAAGCGGGAGAACAGGAAAAACCACACUGGUUGACUUGACAAACAAGACGAACUGGCAACAUACAAGCAGGGAACACAGGAAUAAGUACCCAGGCACUAAUGAGGAAAACAGGUGACACCUGGGAGGACAUUUUCAUCCAUUUAUUGCCUGCUCAAAAGCACCCAGGUUGAGAGGUUGAAGACAUAGUGAGAGGUGAGAGGAGGAUAAGAGGAUGAAAGGAACAGAGCAGAAAAAGAGAAAAGAAAACACAGGGCUCAGGGUCUGUGAAGAUCCAGAAGUUUGCAGACAGUGACAUCACACAGCAAAGUCUGCUUAAAGAUGAAGAGCCACCUGUGAGACAAAUGCUUUCAGUAAUUGUUCCAAAAGGAUUGGAUGCAAAACGUCAAUGGUAUCUCUAUGAUGAGAAGGCCUUCACUGCUGAAGAGUGUAGGGACAUCCCCACCCCUUUCCCAUCAGUCCCUAAUCCUGGGAGGAUGGCUUACUUUGAGGACUCUGACUGACUCUGAAAAUAAUUCAGUAACUUCGCACGCACACACACACACACACACACACACUAACAACUUAAAGAACUCAAGUAGAUCUAGGCCUACAGUAAUGUUUAGCAGUUACAUAAUUUAAAUACAAAUCUGAACUGUCAUUAUAAAUUGUAAAUAUAGUAUUAUAAACUGGGUGUGUCAAGCCCUGAAUGCUGAUUGGCUGAAUAUACACUGCUCAAAAAAAUAAAGGGAACACUAAAAUAACACAUCCUAGAUCUGAAUGAAUGAAAUAAUCUUAUUAAAUACUUUUUUCUUUACAUAGUUGAAUAUGCUGACAACAAAAUC
Long non-coding RNA from Salmo salar (Atlantic salmon), 835 nucleotides. RefSeq lists it as uncharacterized. Lineage: Eukaryota; Metazoa; Chordata; Actinopteri; Salmoniformes; Salmonidae. The record is from RefSeq and is a predicted model, not a curated record.